RNAcentral lists this ribosomal RNA (363 nucleotides) under uncultured eukaryote. RNAcentral describes it as "partial 18S ribosomal RNA". It matches the Rfam family "Eukaryotic small subunit ribosomal RNA", at positions 592 to 976 of the family's 1831-position model. The record is from RNAcentral.
CAAUAGCGUAUACUAAUGUUGUUGCAGUUAAAAAGCUCGUAGUUGAACUUCUGGUAGGAGUGUCCCGGCCUUUUUGUUUUUACAAAUUGUAUGCUGUGUGACAUAUCUGGCCAUCCUUCUUCUUUGUUUAAAGAAGAUCUUUCACUGUAAAAAAAUUAGGGUGUUCAAAGCAAAAGUUUCUUUGGAAUAUAUUAGUAUGGGAUGAUAAGAUAGGCUCUAGAUGCUAUUUUGUUGGUUUGCACAUUUAGAGAAUGAUUAACAGGGACAGUUGGGGGUAUUCGUAUUUACAUGUCAGAGGUGAAAUUCUUGGAUUUUGGAAAGACGAACUACUGCGAAAGCAUUUACCAAGGAUGUUUUCAUUAA